AGCAGCCGCGGUAAUUCUAGCUCCAAUAGCGUAUAUUAAAGUUGUUGCAGCUAAAAAGCUCGUAGUUGAAUUUCGGGACCAAUAUGUCGGUCGUGCUUCGGUACGUACUUGCAUUAUUGGUUUCUCCCUUCUGAAGAACCAUGAUGUCAUUAAUUUGGUGUCUUGGGGAAUCAGGACUGCUACUUUGAAAAAAUUAGAGUGUUUAAAGCAGGCUCACGCUUGAAUACAUUAGCAUGGAAUAAUGAAAUAGGACCUUUGAUUCUAUUUUGUUGGUUUCUAGGAUCGACGUAAUGAUUAAUAGGGAUAGUUGGGGGCAUUAGUAUUCAAUUGUCAGAGGUGAAAUUCUUGGAUUUAUUGAGGACUAACUACUGCGAAAGCAUUUGCCAAGGAUGUUUUCAUUAAUCAAGAACGAAAGUUAGGGGGAUCGAAGACGAUCAGAUACCGUCGUAGUCUUAACCAUAAACUAUGCCGACUAGGGAUCGGAUGAUGUUAUUUUUGAUGA
This 502-nucleotide ribosomal RNA is filed under the name uncultured Glomus. Its description in RNAcentral is "SSU rRNA". It matches the Rfam family "Eukaryotic small subunit ribosomal RNA", at positions 569 to 1074 of the family's 1831-position model. Lineage: Eukaryota; Fungi; Glomeromycota; Glomeromycetes; Glomerales; Glomeraceae. The record is from RNAcentral.